Arsenicicoccus sp. oral taxon 190 is the source of this 97-nucleotide non-coding RNA. The record is from Rfam. NCBI's taxonomy places the organism in Bacteria, Bacillati, Actinomycetota, Actinomycetes, Micrococcales, Intrasporangiaceae.
GCCGGCCCCCCGCGUGGUGGUACCUCUCCCAACUCCCCCAGGGCAGGAAUGCAGCAAGGGUAAGAGAGCUCUUCCAGGUGCGCGGGGGGUCCUGCAU